This 272-nucleotide ribosomal RNA is filed under the name uncultured bacterium. Its description in RNAcentral is "partial 16S ribosomal RNA". It matches the Rfam family "Bacterial small subunit ribosomal RNA", at positions 524 to 794 of the family's 1533-position model. The record is from RNAcentral.
UACGAAGGGGGGCAAGCGUUGUUCGGAAUUACUGGGCGUAAAGGGCGCGUAGGCGGCUCUUUAAGUCAGGCGUGAAAGCCCCGGGCUCAACCUGGGAACUGCGCUUGAGACUGGAGAGCUUGAGUUCGGGAGAGGUGAGUGGAAUUCCCAGUGUAGAGGUGAAAUUCGUAGAUAUUGGGAAGAACACCAGUGGCGAAGGCGGCUCACUGGACCGACACUGACGCUGAGGCGCGAAAGCGUGGGGAGCAAACAGGAUUAGAUACCCCGGUAGU